AGAGUUUGAUCCUGGCUCAGGACGAACGCUGGCGGCGUGCUUAACACAUGCAAGUCGAACGGAAAGGCCCUUUCGGGGGUACUCGAGUGGCGAACGGGUGAGUAACACGUGGGUGAUCUGCCCUGCACUUUGGGAUAAGCCUGGGAAACUGGGUCUAAUACCGGAUAGGACUACGGCCUGCAUGGGUUGUGGUGGAAAGCUUUUGCGGUGUGGGAUGGGCCCGCGGCCUAUCAGCUUGUUGGUGGGGUGAUGGCCUACCAAGGCGACGACGGGUAGCCGGCCUGAGAGGGUGACCGGCCACACUGGGACUGAGAUACGGCCCAGACUCCUACGGGAGGCAGCAGUGGGGAAUAUUGCACAAUGGGCGCAAGCCUGAUGCAGCGACGCCGCGUGGGGGAUGACGGCCUUCGGGUUGUAAACCCCUUUCAGUAGGGACGAAGCGCAAGUGACGGUACCUACAGAAGAAGGACCGGCCAACUACGUGCCAGCAGCCGCGGUAAUACGUAGGGUCCGAGCGUUGUCCGGAAUUACUGGGCGUAAAGAGCUCGUAGGUGGUUUGUCGCGUUGUCCGUGAAAACUCACAGCUCAACUGUGGGCGUGCGGGCGAUACGGGCAGACUGGAGUACUGCAGGGGAGACUGGAAUUCCUGGUGUAGCGGUGGAAUGCGCAGAUAUCAGGAGGAACACCGGUGGCGAAGGCGGGUCUCUGGGCAGUAACUGACGCUGAGGAGCGAAAGCGUGGGGAGCGAACAGGAUUAGAUACCCUGGUAGUCC
RNAcentral lists this ribosomal RNA (773 nucleotides) under uncultured bacterium. Its description in RNAcentral is "bacterial SSU rRNA". It matches the Rfam family "Bacterial small subunit ribosomal RNA", at positions 8 to 796 of the family's 1533-position model. The record is from RNAcentral.